AGAGUUUGAUCAUGGCUCAGCCUGAACGCUGGCGGCGUGGUUAACACAUGCAAGUCGCACGGUGUAGCCCUACACAGUGCCCAACGGGUGAAUAAUGUGUCGCUAACGUGCCCCGGACUCCGGGAUACCCGUCCGAAAGGGCGGGUAAUACCGGGUAACAUACCGAAAAGGCAUCUCUUUGGUCUCGGAGGUUCGCCGGUCCGGGAGCGGGCGACAUCGUAUCAGCUAGUUGGUGGGGUAACGGCCCACCAAGGCGACGACGCGUAGCCGGACUGAGAGGUCGGCCGGCCACAUCGGGACUGAGACACUGCCCGGACUCCUACGGGGGGCUGCAGUAACGAAUCUUCCCCAAUGCACGAAAGUGUGAGGGAGCGACGCCGCGUGUGGGACGAAGUCCUUCGGGAUGUAAACCACUGUCAGGGGUUACCAAGUUCUGAGGAGCCCCAGAGGAAGUGGCGGCUAAAUCUGUGCCAUCAGCCGCGGUAAGACAGAGGCCACGAGCGUUAGGCGGAAUCACUGGGCUUAAAGCGUGUGUAGGCGGACCGUUAAGUGCCCGCGUGAAAUCCCCCGGCUCAACCGGGGAACGGCCGGGCAUACUGGCGGUCUUGAGCGGUCUAGGGGUCAUCGGAACAGACAGUGGAGCGGUGAAAUGCGUAGAUAUCGUUUGGAACGCCGACAGUGAAAACAGAUGACUGGGGACCUGCUGACGCUGAGACACAAGAUCCAGAGGAGCAAACGGGAUUACAUACCCCGGUAGUCCUGGCGCUAAACGAUGUCGACUACAUCGUGGUCCCUCUGACGGGUUCACGGUCGAAUCAAAGUGCUAAGUCGACCGCCUGGGAACUACGGUCGCAAGGCUAAAACUCAAAGGAAUUGACGG
RNAcentral lists this ribosomal RNA (880 nucleotides) under uncultured bacterium. RNAcentral's name for it is "bacterial SSU rRNA". It matches the Rfam family "Bacterial small subunit ribosomal RNA", at positions 8 to 916 of the family's 1533-position model. The record is from RNAcentral.